This 729-nucleotide long non-coding RNA is filed under the name Androctonus crassicauda. The record is from RNAcentral. Lineage: Eukaryota; Metazoa; Arthropoda; Arachnida; Scorpiones; Buthidae.
AGCAAAUGAGAAGAGAAUACUAAUCGAAUAGUUUUACUAGUGACGGAAGAACUACAAUCAGUUUCAUUUUCUUCAUUCGCUUGGAUUGUUCUUGGUUUAUGAUAGAGAAUAUUCGUGUUUGAAAACUUAGAAAAUCAGUUCAUUAAUUCAGGGAAGAGAGAUUAUUUACAUGUUGAUGAAUAUUUUAAAAACCAGGCUUUUAUAUAAUAUCGCUUCAUAUUAAAAGUUGAUAAUAUUUAUAUCUGUUAUGCCCAAACACUGAAAUCGUGCAAUGACCGAGAGGGGCAGCCAUAACGCGUUGUGGUCACUUCCAAACGACCAAACGCAGUUGCUCAACAUUAUUUCGUUUGGGGGCCAUGGUGAGGUAACCCAGUGGACAACUCCGCCAAAACCAAUGCACGUUCUGAGCCUUUUGAAACGACCGCAGAUAGUUCUGAAACAGCUCAGAGCAUAUACAGUAUUUGUAGUAGUACGCUCGGUGUUAACUAAUAGUCACAGAAUUCCGCUACUGGUAAUAGAAUAUUGACCGUUUAGCAGUGUAUCGGCGAUGGCAACUAAUUCACGAAAAAGGAGCUACAUUUUGGAGACGAGACUUCAAUUAUAAGCAUUUUUACAAUAUUUUUAUUUUUAAAUCAUAAAUAAAGUCUUUCCAAAAGUAAUUUUUUUCCUUAAAAAUUUUAAAAGAUUUCAACAAGAACACAAUCGGGCAUUGGGUUAAAUCAUUUUCAA